AUUGAACGCUGGCGGCAGGCCUAACACAUGCAAGUCGAACGAGUGGCGGACGGGUGAGUAAUGUCUGGGAAACUGCCUGAUGGAGGGGGAUAACUACUGGAAACGGUAGCUAAUACCGCAUACCAUCGGAUGUGCCCCGAUGGGAUUGGCUAGUGGGUGGGGUAACGGCUCACCUAGGCGACGAUCCCUAGCUGGUCUGAGAGGAUGACCAGCCACCUUGGAACUGAGCCACGGUCCAGACUCCUACGGGAGGCAGCAGUGGGGAAUAGUGCACAAUGGGGGCAAGCCUGAUGCAGCCAGGCCGAGUGUAUGAAGAAGGCCUUGGGGUUGUAAAGUACUUUCAGCGGGGAGGCGUUAGCCGCAGAAGAAGCACCGGCUAACUACGUGCCAGCAGCCGCGGUAAUUC
This 406-nucleotide ribosomal RNA is filed under the name uncultured bacterium. RNAcentral describes it as "partial 16S ribosomal RNA". It matches the Rfam family "Bacterial small subunit ribosomal RNA", at positions 30 to 526 of the family's 1533-position model. The record is from RNAcentral.